Molecule: ribosomal RNA, 253 nt
Filed under: uncultured bacterium
Lineage: Bacteria
Description: partial 16S ribosomal RNA
Rfam family: Bacterial small subunit ribosomal RNA
Source: RNAcentral
CACGUAGGGCGCGAGCGUUGUCCGGAAUUAUUGGGCGUAAAGAGCUCGUAGGCGGCCUGUUGCGUCCGCUGUGAAAGCCCGGGGCUAAACCCCGGGUCUGCAGUGGAUACGGGCAGGCUAGAGGUAGGUAGGGGAGAAUGGAAUUCCCGGUGUAGCGGUGAAAUGCGCAGAUAUCGGGAGGAACACCUGAGGCGAAGGCGGGCUACUGGGCCGAUACUGACGCUGAGGCGCGAAAGCCAGGGGAGCAAACGGG